UUAAGCGACUAAGCGUACACGGUGGAUGCCCUGGCAGUCAGAGGCGAUGAAGGGCGUGCUAAUCUGCGAUAAGCGCCGGUAAGGUGAUAUGAACCGUUAUAACCGGCGAUACCCGAAUGGGGAAACCCAGUGUGAUUCGUCACACUAUCAUUAACUGAAUCCAUAGGUUAAUGAGGCGAACCGGGGGAACUGAAACAUCUAAGUACCCCGAGGAAAAGAAAUCAACCGAGAUUCCCCCAGUAGCGGCGAGCGAACGGGGAGGAGCCCAGAGCCUGAAUCAGCAUGUGUGUUAGUGGAAGCGUCUGGAAAGGCGCGCGAUACAGGGUGACAGCCCCGUACACAAAAGCGCAUGUGCUGUGAGCUCGAUGAGUAGGGCGGGACACGUGGUAUCCUGUCUGAAUAUGGGGGGACCAUCCUCCAAGGCUAAAUACUCCUGACUGACCGAUAGUGAACCAGUACCGUGAGGGAAAGGCGAAAAGAACCCCGGCGAGGGGAGUGAAAAAGAACCUGAAACCGUGUACGUACAAGCAGUGGGAGCACAGGUUUACCUGUGUGACUGCGUACCUUUUGUAUAAUGGGUCAGCGACUUAUAUUCUGUAGCAAGGUUAACCGAAUAGGGGAGCCGGAGGGAAACCGAGUCUUAAUUGGGCGUUAAGUUGCAGGGUAUAGACCCGAAACCCGGUGAUCUAGCCAUGGGCAGGUUGAAGGUUGGGUAACACUAACUGGAGGACCGAACCGACUAAUGUUGAAAAAUUAGCGGAUGACCUGUGGCUGGGGGUGAAAGGCCAAUCAAACCGGGAGAUAGCUGGUUCUCCCCGAAAGCUAUUUAGGUAGCGCCUCGUGAAUUCAUCUCCGGGGGUAGAGCACUGUUUCGGCUAGGGGGCCAUCCCGGCUUACCAACCCGAUGCAAACUGCGAAUACCGGAGAAUGUUAUCACGGGAGACACACGGCGGGUGCUAACGUCCGUCGUGAAGAGGGAAACAACCCAGACCGCCAGCUAAGGUCCCAAAGUCAUGGUUAAGUGGGAAACGAUGUGGGAAGGCCCAGACAGCCAGGAUGUUGGCUUAGAAGCAGCCAUCAUUUAAAGAAAGCGUAAUAGCUCACUGGUCGAGUCGGCCUGCGCGGAAGAUGUAACGGGGCUAAACCAUGCACCGAAGCUGCGGCAGCGAACGUAUCACCCAAGACAACUUUACGGAGUUGACGAUUGACGGAGCGAAGCGACGUCAAAGCGUUCAUUAAAGUCGAGUUGGCUUAGGGAUACGUUCGUUGGGUAGGGGAGCGUUCUGUAAGCCUGUGAAGGUGUGUCGUGAGGCAUGCUGGAGGUAUCAGAAGUGCGAAUGCUGACAUAAGUAACGAUAAAGCGGGUGAAAAGCCCGCUCGCCGGAAGACCAAGGGUUCCUGUCCAACGUUAAUCGGGGCAGGGUGAGUCGACCCCUAAGGCGAGGCCGAAAGGCGUAGUCGAUGGGAAACGGGUUAAUAUUCCCGUACUUGGUGUUACUGCGAAGGGGGGACGGAGAAGGCUAUGUUGGCCGGGCGACGGUUGUCCCGGUUUAAGCGUGUAGGUGUGUGUUCCAGGUAAAUCCGGUUCACUUUAACACUGAGGCGUGACGACGAGGCACUACGGUGCUGAAGCAACAAAUGCCCUGCUUCCAGGAAAAGCCUCUAAGCAUCAGGUAACACGAAAUCGUACCCCAAACCGACACAGGUGGUCAGGUAGAGAAUACCAAGGCGCUUGAGAGAACUCGGGUGAAGGAACUAGGCAAAAUGGUGCCGUAACUUCGGGAGAAGGCACGCUGACACGUAGGUGAAGUGAUUUACUCAUGGAGCUGAAGUCAGUCGAAGAUACCAGCUGGCUGCAACUGUUUAUUAAAAACACAGCACUGUGCAAACACGAAAGUGGACGUAUACGGUGUGACGCCUGCCCGGUGCCGGAAGGUUAAUUGAUGGGGUCAGCGUAAGCGAAGCUCCUGAUCGAAGCCCCGGUAAACGGCGGCCGUAACUAUAACGGUCCUAAGGUAGCGAAAUUCCUUGUCGGGUAAGUUCCGACCUGCACGAAUGGCGUAAUGAUGGCCAGGCUGUCUCCACCCGAGACUCAGUGAAAUUGAACUCGCUGUGAAGAUGCAGUGUACCCGCGGCAAGACGGAAAGACCCCGUGAACCUUUACUAUAGCUUGACACUGAACAUUGAGCCUUGAUGUGUAGGAUAGGUGGGAGGCUUUGAAGUGUGGACGCCAGUCUGCAUGGAGCCGACCUUGAAAUACCACCCUUUAAUGUUUGAUGUUCUAACGUGGACCCGUAAUCCGGGUUGCGGACAGUGUCUGGUGGGUAGUUUGACUGGGGCGGUCUCCUCCUAAAGAGUAACGGAGGAGCACGAAGGUUGGCUAAUCCUGGUCGGACAUCAGGAGGUUAGUGCAAUGGCAUAAGCCAGCUUGACUGCGAGCGUGACGGCGCGAGCAGGUGCGAAAGCAGGUCAUAGUGAUCCGGUGGUUCUGAAUGGAAGGGCCAUCGCUCAACGGAUAAAAGGUACUCCGGGGAUAACAGGCUGAUACCGCCCAAGAGUUCAUAUCGACGGCGGUGUUUGGCACCUCGAUGUCGGCUCAUCACAUCCUGGGGCUGAAGUAGGUCCCAAGGGUAUGGCUGUUCGCCAUUUAAAGUGGUACGCGAGCUGGGUUUAGAACGUCGUGAGACAGUUCGGUCCCUAUCUGCCGUGGGCGCUGGAGAACUGAGGGGGGCUGCUCCUAGUACGAGAGGACCGGAGUGGACGCAUCACUGGUGUUCGGGUUGUCAUGCCAAUGGCACUGCCCGGUAGCUAAAUGCGGAAGAGAUAAGUGCUGAAAGCAUCUAAGCACGAAACUUGCCCCGAGAUGAGUUCUCCCUGAGACUUAGAGUCUCCUGAAGGAACGUUGAAGACGACGACGUUGAUAGGCCGGGUGUGUAAGCGCAGCGAUGCGUUGAGCUAACCGGUACUAAUGAACCGUGAGGCUUAACCUU
RNAcentral lists this ribosomal RNA (2990 nucleotides) under Salmonella enterica. Its description in RNAcentral is "bacterial LSU rRNA". It matches the Rfam family "Bacterial large subunit ribosomal RNA". Lineage: Bacteria; Pseudomonadati; Pseudomonadota; Gammaproteobacteria; Enterobacterales; Enterobacteriaceae. The record is from RNAcentral. RNAcentral also lists the same sequence under 2 other names.